CAAAAGCUAGCUCAUGAGGAGAGGUUUGUCAAGUCCACAUAAGAAGACCGAAUUCCCAUCCCUCUACCGCUGUGGGACAUCUUAAUGGGAAUUCGGUCUUCUUAUGUGGACUUGACAAACCUCUCCUCAUGAGUUAGCUUUUG
Molecule: microRNA precursor, 143 nt
Filed under: Solanum lycopersicum (tomato)
Lineage: Eukaryota; Viridiplantae; Streptophyta; Magnoliopsida; Solanales; Solanaceae
Description: miR9469 stem-loop (sly-MIR9469)
Source: miRBase by way of RNAcentral